CCCCCGCGCACGCGUCCUGGAGGUUGCCUGGCAACGCAGCCCGGCCAUGGAGGCGUCUUACAAGUCUGAGUCCGAGUCUGAGGCCUGGCCUGGCACUCAGCGGCCCGGGACCGGGACCGUGAGCGCGGCGGUGCGCGAGCACUUGCGGAAGCUGUGUCUGCGCGAGUUCCCGUGCGGCGCCGGCAGCUGGAAUAAGUCACGCUUUCUUCCUCAAACUUGGCGAACAUGGAGAGAGCUGGUCCCCAAAGAGGAGGAUGUGGUGAGCCCCGGGGAGGAGACGGUGGAGGCCCUGCUGGGCCUGGUCCGCAGCCCCCACUCCCCCUGGGCUCUGCUGAACGACUCGAAUGCUGAAGACAGUUUCCUGAGAGAACUGGCCAUCCGGAACCCGCUGAUGAUCACAGACACCUUCUUCUACUCCUACUUCCGGUCCCUGCGGGUGGUAGAUAAGGAGGUCACCCUGGUGGAUAAAGACCUCCUGAAAUUUCUAAAGCUGGAGGAGUUGGUACUGAGCGCCAAUCGAAUCAAGGAGGUGGAUGCCACCAAUCUGCCCCCCACACUCAAGGUGCUGGAGCUCUACGGCAAUGAGAUCAGCAGCAUGGAGUGUCUGUGCGCCCACCCGCCCGCCGGCCUGCAGCACCUGGGGUUAGGCCACAACAAGCUUCUAGGCCCCUUGGAAAGUCUCUACGUCACCGCUGAUCACUGGCCCAACCUCGUCUCCCUGGACCUGGGCUUCAAUGACCUGACAGACCUGCAGAGCAUGGUUGCCAGCCUGAGGACCCUCCGGCACCUGCGACUCCUGGUGCUGCAGGGAAACCCACUGGCCUUGGUGCCCUACUACCGCGGCCUCACCAUCGACAGCCUGGCCCAGCUCUGCGUGCUGGACGACAUCACCGUGUCUCCCAACGAGAAGCAUCUCUUCCGGGGGCUCAGCCUCAAUGGCGAUCUCUUGGCACAGGAGGCGCAGUUUGUGGUGACCAUCGGAAACAUCAGAGGAGUCCUGGACACCUCUGUCCUAGACCCGGAACCCGGGCCCGAAGGCCCUUUCGUCGCUUAUAGCUAUUACGUGACGUACGAUUUUGUGAGAGACGAAGAAGGUGAAGCGGUUGAGGACACAGGCGAGCUGGCCGAGAUCGUCAAGCCCUCUCCCAGCUCAGAAUUAUUAGUUGAGGAAUCUCCUGAAGAGGUCGGCGAAGAUGUCAUCAAAGACAUUGUUGGAGGGGUCACUGAAGAGGUCGAAGGAUCUCUGGAGUCUGAGGUGGAGGAGUCAGGAGAGUCGGAGCUGUCUGUCAUCUCGGGGCCUUCGACCGUCUUGCAGACGCCAAGGGCCUCUGCAGAAGAGCUGGCCAAGUUGCGGCUGCGUAUAGAUCCCCGGCUCUGCCCGUCCCCAGGGACUGUCCUCUUCAACACCACCCACAAGCCCUGGGCUGAGGUCAUCCCGUGCGGCUACGAGAUGCAGCACUCUCUCAGGGACCUGGUGCCACUGAAGGCCUUCCUGCUGGCGGGGACCACUGUGACCAUCGUGGAAGAGAAGAUUCUCUCCUGGCCUGUGGUGCUACCUGCUGUUGACAGUCCCCUGUCUGCCAAGAGAGGAAAGGGGGAGAAGGACAAGAAAGGGAAGGAGAAAGACAGGAAGGGGCAAGGAGAGAAAGAGCCGGCCAAGCAGGAGUGGAAAGUGCCGAAGAAGAAGAAAGAGCUGCCCAAGGAGCUCCGGCAGGACCCCCCCAUCCUCCAGGUGCUGGGCCGGGGCCUGGUGAUCCUGGAGCCCCUGCUUGCCGGGGAGCCCCUGGUGUCCACUGUGUGCAACUUCGGCAUGGUCCGCACCUUGACAUCGGACAGGCUGACACUGGCCAGGGAUUCAAAGAAGAUUAAGAAAGUUGCCAAAAAAGGGACCUGGACUUGUCCUGUGGGGAGCUGCAGAAGCAUCUGAAACGGGUGCGUCUCAGAUUUGAGGUUCAGAAAGAACAUCCAGCCGGGAGGGAGAGAAAGGAGACAGGGAGAGCCGUGGGAGGUGGCUGCAAAGGCACGAGGCCCAAUCACAGCAGAGCAACCCAUCAUGCUGAAGCUGAAAAGUGGAAACAGGCCCGACGUGGUGGCUCACGCCUGUAAUCCCAGCACUUUGGCGUGCUUAUCACCUGAGAAAAGCCAAAAGCCGUGAAUCCGAUCUACGAAAGCGAUUACCACCCCGAGCCCCUGACGGUAGAGGUGCAGAUCCAGCUGAACCAG
This is an RNA transcript of Macaca mulatta (Rhesus monkey), 2223 nucleotides long. It is a transcript of the gene named leucine rich repeat containing 43, with no coding region annotated. The record is from RefSeq and is a predicted model, not a curated record. NCBI's taxonomy places the organism in Eukaryota, Metazoa, Chordata, Mammalia, Primates, Cercopithecidae.